GGAAAUGAUGGGGUAUGACCAACAAGAAGAGUCAAGGCUGAGUGGAUUUAGGGCCACGGCGACUGAAAAGACAGAAUUAAUGAAAGUGGCAAGAUCUCGGGGGGAAGCAUGUCUUUUAGGGAGGACCAGAAAGAAGCUUGGUUGCAGGUGCCAGUUAGACACCCACUUGAAGGUGAUGCAUGAAUCUGGGGUUCAGGGUUCAGGGCUGAGCAUUCCUCCUGCUCUGGGCUGUGGCUUCAUCAGCUCGCAGCUUGGUUGGGAGGGGCCUGUGGUUUUCAAGGACGCUUCUGGGGGCCAGUACAACUCAAGGAGGUAGGAUUCUGUGCCCUCACACCUAGGCCGAAGGAAAGUUUGCCAGUCACAAAACUAGCUGAGCCCCUGGGCUCCCUGCAGCACACACACUCUACACACACUCUAUGCACGCUCCACUGUGCCCCUAGAAAACCCGUGGGUUCUUUGUUCCUAGACUUGAGUGCCCCAUCCCCAGUCCUGGGAGCAGAGGCCGGGCCUGGGUGUCGUGGGGGAGGGCUCGGCGGUGCCCCCUGGUGGCAUGCUUGGGCAUGGGACUGACAUCCCCUCGCUUCUUCCCCCCAGCGCGACUGUCAAAACUACAUCAAGAUCCUCCUGCCGCUCAGCGGCAGUCACCUGUUCACCUGUGGCACAGCAGCCUUCAGCCCCAUGUGUACCUACAUCAACGUGGAGAACUUCACCCUGGCAAGGGACGAGAAGGGGAAUGUCCUCCUAGAAGAUGGCAAGGGCCGUUGUCCCUUCGACCCGAAUUUCAAGUCCACGGCCCUGGUGGUUGAUGGCGAGCUCUACACUGGAACAGUCAGCAGCUUCCAAGGGAAUGACCCGGCCAUCUCCCGGAGCCAAAGCCUUCGCCCCACCAAGACCGAGAGCUCCCUCAACUGGCUGCAAGACCCAGCUUUUGUGGCCUCAGCCUACAUUCCUGAAAGCCUGGGCAGCUUGCAAGGCGAUGAUGACAAGAUCUACUUUUUCUUCAGCGAGACUGGCCAGGAAUUUGAGUUCUUUGAGAACACCAUUGUGUCCCGCGUUGCCCGCAUCUGCAAGGGCGAUGAGGGUGGAGAGCGAGUGCUGCAGCAGCGCUGGACCUCAUUCCUCAAGGCCCAGCUGCUGUGCUCACGGCCCGACGACGGCUUCCCCUUCAACGUGCUGCAGGACGUCUUCACGCUGAGCCCCAGCCCCCAGGACUGGCGUGACACCCUUUUCUAUGGGGUCUUCACUUCUCAGUGGCACAGGGGAACUACAGAAGGCUCUGCCGUCUGUGUCUUCACCAUGAAGGACGUGCAGAGGGUCUUCAAUGGCCUCUACAAGGAGGUGAACCGUGAGACGCAGCAGUGGUACACCGUGACCCACCCGGUGCCCAUACCCCGGCCUGGAGCGUGCAUCACCAACAGUGCCCGGGAAAGGAAGAUCAACUCAUCCCUGCAGCUCCCAGAUCGCGUGCUGAACUUCCUCAAGGACCACUUCCUGAUGGAUGGGCAGGUCCGAAGCCGCAUGCUGCUGCUGCAGCCCCAGGCUCGCUACCAGCGCGUGGCUGUACACCGCGUCCCUGGCCUGCACCACACCUACGAUGUCCUCUUCCUGGGCACUGGUGACGGCCGGCUUCACAAGGCAGUGAGCGUGGGCCCCCGGGUGCACAUCAUUGAGGAGCUGCAGAUCUUCUCAUCGGGACAGCCUGUGCAGAAUCUGCUCCUGGACACCCACAGGGGACUGCUGUAUGCGGCCUCCCACUCGGGCGUAGUCCAGGUGCCCAUGGCCAACUGCAGCCUGUACCGGAGCUGUGGGGACUGCCUCCUCGCCCGGGACCCCUACUGUGCUUGGAGCGGCUCCAGCUGCAAGCACGUCAGCCUCUACCAGCCUGAGCUGGCCGCCAGGCCGUGGAUCCAGGACAUCGAGGGAGCCAGUGCCAAGGACCUUUGCAGCGCGUCUUCGGUUGUGUCCCUGUCUUUUGUACCAACAGGUGAGAAGCCAUGUGAGCAAGUCCAGUUCCAGCCCAACACAGUGAACACUUUGGCCUGCCCACUCCUCUCCAACCUGGCGACCCGACUCUGGCUGCACAACGGGGCCCCUGUCAAUGCCUCGGCCUCCUGCCACGUGCUACCCACUGGGGACCUGCUGCUGGUGGGCACCCAACAGCUGGGGGAGUUCCAGUGCUGGUCACUAGAGGAGGGCUUCCAGCAGCUGGUAGCCAGCUACUGCCCAGAGGUGGUGGAGGAUGGGGUGGCAGACCAAACAGAUCAGGGUGGCAAUGUACCCGUCAUUAUCAGCACAUCGCGUGUGAGUGCACCAGCUGGUGGCAGGGCCAGCUGGGGUGCAGACAAGUCCUACUGGAAGGAGUUCCUGGUGAUGUGCACGCUCUUUGUGCUAGCCGUGCUGUUCCCAGUUUUAUUCUUGCUCUACCGGCACCGGAACAGCAUGAAAGUCUUCCUGAAGCAGGGGGAAUGUGCCAGCGUGCACCCCAAGACCUGCCCUGUGGUGCUGCCCCCCGAGACCCGCCCACUCAACGGCCUAGGCCCCCCUAGCACUCCACUUGAUCACCGAGGGUACCAGGCCCUGUCAGACAGCCCCCCGGGGGCCCGAGUCUUCACUGAGUCAGAGAAGAGGCCACUCAGCAUCCAAGACAGCUUCGUGGAGGUAUCCCCAGUGUGCCCCCGGCCCCGGGUCCGCCUUGGCUCGGAGAUCCGUGACUCUGUGGUGUGAGAGCUGACUUCCAGAGGACGCUGCCCUGGCUUCAGGGGCUGUGAAUGCUCGGAGAGGGUCAACUGGACCUCCCCUCCGCUCUGCUCUUCGUGGAACACAACGUGGUGCCCAGCCCUUGGGAGCCUUGGAGCCAGCUGGCCUGCUGCUCUCCAGUCAAGUAGCGAGGCUCCUACCACCCAGACACCCAAACAGCCAUGGCCCCAGAGGUCCUGGCCAAAUAUGGGGGCCUGCCUAGGUUGGUGGAACAGUGCUCCUUAUGUAAACUGAGCCCUUUGUUUAAAAAACAAUUCAAAAUGUGAAACUAGAGUGAGAGGGAAGAGAUAGCAUGGAAUGCAGCACACACGGCUGCUCCAGUUCAUGGCCUCCCAGGGGUACUGGGGAUGCAUCCAAAGUGGUUGAGACAGAGUUGGAAACCCUCACCAACUGGCCUCUUCACCUUCCACCUUAUCCCGCUGCCACCAGCUGCCCUGUCUCACUGCAGAUUCAGGACCAGCUUGGGCUCCGUGCGUUCUGCCUUGCCAGCCAGCCGAGGAUGUAGUUGUUGCUGCCAUCAUCCCACCACCUCAGGGACCAGAGGGCUAGGUUGGCACUGCGGCCCUCACCAGGUCCUGGGCUCGGACCCAACUCCUGGACCUUUCCGGCCUGUAUCAGGCUGUGGCCACACAAGAGGACAGCGUGAGCUCAGGAGAGAUUUAGUGACAAUGUACGCCUUUCCCUCAGAAUUCAAGGAAGAGACUGUUGCCUGCCUUCCUCCAUUGUUGCGUGAGAACCCGUGUGUCCCUUCCUGCCAUAUCCACCCUCGCUCCAUCUUUGAACUCAAACACGAGGAACUAACUGUACCCUGGUCCUCUCCCCAGUCCCCAAUUCACCCUCCAUCCCUCACCUUCCUCCACUCUAAGGGAUAGCAACACUGCCCAGCACAGGGGCCCUGAAUUUAUGUGGUUUUUAUAUAUUUUUUAAUAAGAUGCACUUUAUGUCAUUUUUUAAUAAAGUCUGAAGAAUUAUUGUUUAAUCCUGGCUCUUCCUCUUCA
Molecule: small RNA, 3755 nt
Filed under: Pongo abelii (Sumatran orangutan)
Lineage: Eukaryota; Metazoa; Chordata; Mammalia; Primates; Hominidae
Description: retained intron
Source: RNAcentral